UGGGGAAUAUUGCACAAUGGGGGAAACCCUGAUGCAGCGACGCCGCGUGGAGGAAGAAGGUCUUCGGAUUGUAAACUCCUGUUGUUGGGGAAGAUAAUGACGGUACCCAACAAGGAAGUGACGGCUAACUACGUGCCAGCAGCCGCGGUAAAACGUAGGUCACAAGCGUUGUCCGGAAUUACUGGGUGUAAAGGGAGCGCAGGCGGGAAGACAAGUUGGAAGUGAAAUCUAUGGGCUCAACCCAUAAACUGCUUUCAAAACUGUUUUUCUUGAGUAGUGCAGAGGUAGGCGGAAUUCCCGGUGUAGCGGUGGAAUGCGUAGAUAUCGGGAGGAACACCAGUGGCGAAGGCGGCCUACUGGGCACCAACUGACGCUGAGGCUCGAAAGUGUGGGUAGCAAACAGGAUUAGAUACCCUGGUAGUCCACACCGUAAACGAUGAUUACUAGGUGUUGGAGGAUUGACCCCUUCAGUGCCGCAGUUAACACAAUAAGUAAUCCACCUGGGGAGUACGACCGCAAGGUUGAAACUCAAAGGAAUUGACGGGGGCCCGCACAAGCAGUGGAGUAUGUGGUUUAAUUCGACGCAACGCGAAGAACCUUACCAAGUCUUGACAUCCCUUGACAGACAUAGAAAUAUGUAUUCUCUUCGGAGCAAGGAGACAGGUGGUGCAUGGUUGUCGUCAGCUCGUGUCGUGAGAUGUUGGGUUAAGUCCCGCAACGAGCGCAACCCUUAUGGUCAGUUACUACGCAAGAGGACUCUGGCCAGACUGCCGUUGACAAAACGGAGGAAGGCGGGGACGACGUCAAAUCAUCAUGCCCCUUAUGUCCCGGGCUACACACGUAAUACAAUGGCGGUCAACAGAGGGAAGCAAAGCCGCGAGGCAGAGCAAAUCCCCAAAAGCCGUCUCAGUUCGGAUUGCAGGCUGCAACUCGCCUGCAUGAAGUUGGAAUUGCUAGUAAUCGUAGAUCAGCAUGCUACGGUGAAUACGUUCCC
Molecule: ribosomal RNA, 994 nt
Filed under: uncultured bacterium
Lineage: Bacteria
Description: bacterial SSU rRNA
Rfam family: Bacterial small subunit ribosomal RNA
Source: RNAcentral